CCAGGCGGCCGCGCGCCCCGCGGCACCGUCGGGGGCGGUGGGCAGGGGAGAGGCUCGGGAGCGCGCCUGCCGGAGCGCUUUGCUCCAGCCUGCCGAGCGGGGAGGAGGGCUCGCCGCACCACCGCCCCGAGCCGCGCAGCGGGGCCGCAGCCAGCCACCAAGCAGUAACAUAAAGAAGUCCCAAGAGAUAAGAAGGAAAAAAAAAACAGAGACACAGAUCAUUGUGCUCUGAAAGUAUUUGUACAAAGGUGAGGCAAUCCAGACACUUGAAUCCUUGUGAGCAGGUGGCUAGCUGGAACCAUCACUGUGUGCUGUGCCAAUACCUAGUGCUCUGCUCCUGCGUCAUUGCUUUCUUAGUUACAUUUACUUAUCUAUUCCAACAUCUAGUUUGGUAAGAAGAAAAGAAAGUUGGGCAGGUUUGUCUCAGUGGGAGUUAACUAAUCCAUCUAAAAAUAAUGAUGACAAAGAAGACCAUAUCUGCGAGCAGAGCUUCCUUGAUUCUCUUUCUGUGCCAGAUGAUUACUGCAUUGGAAGUACCUCUUGAUCCAAUACUUCUCAAAGAAUUAUCACAGCCUCCAACAAUAACUCAGCAAUCUCCAAAAGACUACAUUGUUGACCCUCGAGAGAAUAUUGUAAUACAAUGUGAAGCAAAAGGAAAACCACCUCCUAGUUUCUCAUGGACACGUAAUGGAACUCAUUUUGAUAUAGAUAAAGAUGCAAGGGUAACAGUGAAGCCAAACUCAGGAACCCUUGUAAUAAACAUUAUGAAUGGUGGAAAGGCAGAAGCAUAUGAGGGAGUAUAUCAGUGUACAGCAAGGAAUGAACGUGGAGCAGCAAUUUCCAAUAACAUUGUUAUACGCCCGUCCAGAUCCCCCUUGUGGACUAAAGAAAAAGUAGAACCAAAACAUGUCAGAGAAGGUGAUCCUCUCGUACUUCACUGCAGCCCUCCAGUUGGGUUACCACCACCUAUAAUAUUUUGGAUGGAUAAUUCUUUCCAAAGGCUGCCUCAAAAUGAAAGAGUUUCCCAAGGUCUGAAUGGAGACCUUUAUUUUUCUAAUGUAAAACCAGAGGACACUCGUGAGGACUAUAUUUGUUAUGCGAGAUUUAAUCACACUCAGACUAUACAGCAGAAGCAACCUAUUUCUGUGAAGGUUUUUUCAAUGGAUUCAUUGAAUGAAACUAUAUCUGCUAAUUUGAGUGACACUGAUUUUUAUGGUGCCAAGCCAUUGACAGAGAGACGACCAACUCUUUUAACUCCAGUGGGGAGCACAAGUAAUAAAGUGGAACUAAGGGGAAAUGUACUUUUGCUGGAGUGCAUUGCAGAAGGAUUACCCACGCCACUUAUCCGCUGGAUUAAAGAAGGUGGAGAACUGCCCAUCAACAGAACAUUUUUUGAAAACUUUAAGAAAACUCUCAAGAUUGUAGAGGUUUCUGAAGCUGAUUCUGGGAAAUACAAAUGUGUAGCAAGAAAUCCGUUAGGUUCCACUCACCAUACCAUUACAGUAACUGUCAAAGCUGCUCCAUACUGGAUCACAGCACCUAGAAACCUUGUGUUGUCUCCUGGAGAGGAUGGAACCCUGAUCUGCAGAGCUAAUGGCAACCCCAAACCUAAUAUUAGCUGGCUAACAAAUGGUGUGCCUAUAGCAAUUGCCCCAGAAGAUCCUAGCAGAAAAGUAGAUGGUGAUACCAUAAUUUUCUCUGAUGUGCAAGAAAGAUCAAGUGCUGUUUAUCAAUGCAAUGCCUCUAAUGAAUAUGGAUACUUGCUGGCAAAUGCAUUUGUGAAUGUUUUGGCUGAGCCACCAAGAAUUCUGACUCCUGCUAAUAAAUUAUAUCAGAUCAUUGCAAACAAUCCUGCAUUGCUAGAUUGUGCAUUUUUUGGUUCACCUGUGCCUGAAAUUGAAUGGUUUAAGGGAGUAAAAGGGAGCAUCCUGCAUGGAGAUCUUUAUGUUUUUCAUGACAAUGGAACUCUGGAAAUUCCUGUGGCACAAAAGGAUAGUUCUGGCACAUAUACCUGUGUAGCAAGGAAUAAAUUAGGAAAGGUACAAAAUGAGGUCCAUCUAGAAGUCAAAGAUCCAACAAUGAUUAUUAAACAGCCUGAAUAUAAAAUCAUUCAAAAGGGUGGCCAGGUUUCCUUUGAGUGUACUAUAAAGCAUGAUCGUACCUUACUGCCAACUAUUACAUGGUUGAAAGAUAAUGGUGAACUGCCAGAUGAUGAAAGGUUUAUUAUUCAUAAAGAUAGUUUGGCCAUUAUGAAUGUAACUGAUAAGGAUGAUGGAACCUAUACAUGUGUAGCAAAUACUACCCUGGACAGCGUUUCUGCAAGUGCCGUACUCACUGUUGUUGCUGCUACCCCAACUCCAGCUAUCAUUUACGAUCGUCCUGAUCCACCCUUUGAUUUAGAAUUAACAGAUCAGCUAGAAAGAAGCAUACAGCUGUCCUGGAUACCAGGAUAUGACAAUAACAGCCCCAUUACAAAUUUUGUCAUUGAAUAUGAAGAUGGAAUGCGUGAACCAGGGGUAUGGCAUUACCAGACAGAAGUCCGUGGGACUCAGACAACUGUACAGUUAAAGCUGUCUCCGUAUGUUAACUAUUCGUUCCGUGUAAUAGCUGUCAAUGAGAUUGGUAGAAGUCAGCCAAGUGAAGCAUCUGAACAAUAUCUAACAAAAGCUGCAAAGCCAGAUGAAAAUCCUUCUGGUGUUCAAGGGAUAGGAUCAGAACCCGAUAAUUUGGUGAUUAUAUGGGAGCCUUUAAAAGGUUUUCAGUCCAAUGGACGAGGUCUUCAAUACAAAGUCAGUUGGCGUCAGAAAGAUGUUGGUGAUGAGUGGACUUCUGUUAUAGUUGCAAAUGUUUCAAAAUAUAUUGUAUCUGGUACACCGACCUUUGUUCCAUAUGAAAUAAAAGUACAGGCUUUAAAUGACAUAGGAUAUGCACCAGAACCUGCAGAGGUGAUUGGACAUUCUGGGGAAGACUUACCAAUGGUUGCUCCAGGCAACGUGCAGGUGCACAUUGUUAACAGCACAUUAGCCAAGGUGCACUGGGACCCCGUUCCACUAAAAACUGUCCGAGGACACCUUCAAGGAUACAGGAUUUACUACUGGAAAGUCCAGAGUUUAUCUAAAAGAAGGCGGCGGCAUGUGGAGAAAAAGAUUCUGACAUUCAGUGGAAACAAGACACAUGGAAUGUUGCCAGGACUGGAGCCUUAUAGUUCUUACAAGCUGAAUGUUAGAGUUGUUAAUGGUAAAGGGGAAGGACCAGCAAGCCCUGACAAAUUAUUUAAGACUCCUGAAGGAGUUCCCAGCUCACCUUCCUUUUUGAAGAUUUCUAAUCCAACACUGGACUCUCUGACUUUGGAAUGGGGUCCACCUACUCACCCAAAUGGUAUUUUGAUAGCAUAUACACUAAAGUUUCAACCAAUUAACAGCACUCAUGAAUUAGGCCCCUUGGUAGAGAUCAGAAUUCCUGCAAACGAGACCAGCUUGAUAUUAAGUAAUUUAAAUUACAGCACACGAUACAAGUUUUACUUUUAUGCACAAACAUCAGUUGGAUCUGGAAGUCAAAUAACUGAGGAAGCAGUAACAAUUAUGGAUGAAGCUGGUAUUCUCCCUCCUGCUGUAGGUGCAGGCAAAGGAUACUCAGAAACCCUUUUUGCAACAUCCCCUGUCAUACAUACUGUCCAUCCAACAUUCUAUAAGGUGCGACCGGUUUAUCCAAGGAUCAGAAAUGUUACUGCAUCUGCUGCUGAGACCUAUGCCAAUAUCAGUUGGGAGUAUGAGGGACCAGAUCAUAUGAACUUUUAUGUUGAAUAUGGUGUAGCAGGCAGCAAAGAAGAUUGGAAAAAAGAAAUUGUAAAUGGUUCUCGGAGCUUCUUUGUGUUAAAGGGUUUAACACCAGGAACGUCAUAUAAAGUCCGGGUUGGUGCGGAGGGUCUGUCUGGUUUUGUGAGUUCAGAGGAUGUGUUUGAGACAGGUCCAGCAAUGGCAAGCCGGCAGGUUGACAUUGCUACUCAAGGAUGGUUCAUUGGUCUUAUGUGUGCUGUUGCUCUUCUUAUCUUGAUUUUGCUGAUUGUUUGCUUCAUAAGGAGGAAUAAGGGUGGCAAAUAUCCAGUGAAGGAAAAGGAAGAUGCACAUGCUGAUCCAGAAAUACAGCCUAUGAAAGAAGAUGAUGGAACAUUUGGUGAAUACAGACAAUAGAAUCUGCAUCCUUACUAGCAUAUAGAAAAAUCACAGACCCAAUGCAACCAAAUGUGAAGUACAACAAUUGUAUGAAGUCAGUGCUGUUACAAAUGUUUCUGAUACAAUUAUAAAGUAUUUCUUAUUUACUUGUAUACCCUAAAGUAAUGAACUGAGCUCACGUGUUGUUCUGCACAGAGAACUUCUUCAGUUAAGUCCAAAUAUUUUGUUAUCAUUGAAUUUUAAGUAAAAAGUGUUACAGUAGAAUAGGAAGCAAUAGUUUCUCCAUGAGCUUUCUUUGCUGCUUAUUGUACCAGGCUGUGUAAAAUUCAGUGCCAUAAAUACCAUCAUUGUUGCUCAUUGCCAGUUGUCAUCCCACAGUGAGUAAAUUUAAACAAAACCAAAGAUUCAGAAACUUUGGCAAAGUAUUAAGCUAACUGAAGCACAGCUCACAAAAUAUUUGGAUCUUUUGGUAAGCAAGAUUCUUACUAGGUGACAAGUUUGUUGUUUCAGUGUAAGAAUUAAAUUGAUCAUACGCUGUAUAGUACAGAACUUUUAAAUGAUUUACAUUCUGAACUCUUGAGAAGGAAAUUACAUUUUUGUCAUUUUUAAAUUGGAGAGAAUUUCUGGAACAACUAAAGACUUUUGUGCAGUGCUUAUCAGCAUUAACAAAACAAAAUAGUUACAUAUGCAGUAACAAUUUGGUUACAUUUUUAAAGGUUUGUUGUGUUAUAUGGAUUGUUUUAUCCUGAAAAUAUUGCAGUUGACAUGAUCAUGUAAAUGUUGACCAAGAUUUUCACAAAUGGGUGCUGAAAGUUAGGAUACAUGGUAAGCAUUUUCUGAAAAUCAGUUCCCUUUAAUAUGUCUCAAGCUAAAUGCCCAAAAUUUGAGAGACCUCCAAAUCACUAAUCAUUUUGGAAAAUUUAGGAGCCUGUGUACAAGAGGUGACCUGAUUUCUAAAGGAGCUGAGUGCCUAGAUUCAGUGAAAGCUACUGGCUGCUCAGCACCUUUGAAAAUCAAACCACUUAUUUAGAUGUCUAAAUAUACACUUGCGAGCCUACCUUCAGGCAUCUCUAUUUGUAAAUCUUGGCAGCAAUUCUUACUCACCCAAAUCUUUAUUCAGGUGAAUUCCCAGUAAAAUUAGCAUACUGUACCUCACUGUUCUCACUGUAUUAAAUGCACAUGUAUAUAUGCACAAAAUAUAUUUUGUUGUGGUGACUCAAUAGCUAAAGACAUUACAAUAAGCAAGUUCACAUGCUUCACUGAGAACCUCACAAAAGCAUGUAAUAUUUUCUGACUGAGUAUCUGGAUUUUACAUUAGUAUAAAAUGACUGCUGCCUCUUCUGCUGGUACUAUACCAUGUAUUUUAAAGUAUAUCUUUGUAUUUUGUAACUGUAACCCUGUUUAUUGCAUUGCAGCAUGUAUGUCAAAAGUUUAAAUUAUAUUAUGUGUUUUACUACAUUUCAUCCAAGAUUAUCUGAACAUUUGGAAACACAAAAUUGUGCAGGUUCUCAUUUUGCACUUGUAAAAUGUCAAACUAGAAAUGAAUUGAGCUGCGUAAUAUUUAUGGAGCAGUCACUAUACGUGACUAACAACUUGUUAGGUCUGAAUGUGAUGCAAGAAACUCUUUUUUUUUCUUUUUCUGUUUUCACACCACAUGUUAUAUAGCAAGUGGUGAUUAUGGAUUUAAUGCUUUAGAAUUAAACAAGAAUUAAACAGGAAGAUCCCACAUGCAGUAUUAAUUGCUAACUGCAGUUACAUACAGACCACUACAAACUCCACAACUGAAUUUCAGGAAAAAAAACAAGUACCUUAAAAUUGAAGUGGUGAAUGUAUCUGUCUCCUAGGCAGCAGUUCUAAUGCAAACCUUUUUAACCAAAUUCACAAAUGUGAGCUAUAUGUCAUGAGAGAAUGGAACAAGGAUAGUGAAGAGAUAGUCUCCCAUGUGGGUACUCGACAGAUUUAAAAUAUAUAUGUUUGUUUCAGCAGAUAUAGUAAUAUUACCAGGAGAGAAGAGGCUGACUAGAAGCUCCAGCCAUAUAAGCUCCAGCCAUAUGGGCUUAAUUAUGCUGUAGUCUGUCUGACUGUGGAUCUGUCGCUUGCAUUCAGAUAUUUGACUGAAAUGGAAAAGAUUAAUACAGUAUUAUUGCAGCAUGAUAUAGUGCUACUCAGAAGUGAUGUGUUGCAUCUUAAGUUGAUUCAGAACAUACAUUUAUAGUGUUUGGUGAAAACAGUGAAAAUGGCUAAAUCACAUUAUUCUUAGCUAGCUAAAAGGAUAUUCAAGUAUAAGAUAUGUAAAUAUAUUGUUCCUUCCUCAUCCUGACAAAUAUAAUGCCCUGCCAAAAUGAAAUCUCUUCUGAGAGAUCCAACAAGAAACAACUCAGGAUGCUGGCUGUAUAUGUAAUUACAGGCGCUUGCAUGCAUGAUGUACCAUGAGCCCACCACACUCCCUGCCAACUCUGUUUUUGUGAGCAGUCCUGCUGUUCAAAUUGUAGAGUAGAAUUCUUUUCAUUGUUAAUACCUUGUAUGCUCAUGACACCAAAGCAGGCAGAGAAGAUGGAUGAUAUUAUUUGUAUCCUUGUGCCAUGUAUGCCUAGGUAGCCGCAAACAAAACUCCUUUGUCACUUGACUUUUUUAUUCUAACAUUAAAUCCUUAAAUGCACAUAUAUGAUACAAUAGCACACCACCUCUCUGUUUAUGUGUAGAUAUAAAAACAUAUACAGUGAUGUAUUUAUUUGUAAAUAUAGGUCUGCAUAUAGAUAACAAAUUUUCUUAAGGUCCAGCCAUUUGGGAUGUUCUGAAGCCUAAAAAGAGGAGGUGAUAAUGUAAAAAGUAGCUUGUGUGAUAGAAAGUUUGUAUGGUUUGUAAUGAUGGUAAAGUGCAUUUCAGCAGAAUAUUAAUCAACAGAAUCAAUAUCUGUGUGCUCUUGUGCAUGCUGUACAACAGUACAUUCUUGGUUAUUAUAUGAUGAUAUCCCUUCAAAUAAGAAUGGAAAACAGAUAUUGUGAACAAUUAAAGAAUUUACUAACAGGAAUUGUGCAGCUAAUUCAAAACACUCAUUGCUGAAUAUAUGUCUAAAGUUAACAAGCCGUUCUGGGUUAGUAUGGCACAAUGUAAGUUUUGCUUUUCCUAAUAUAAAUUUAUUUUUCACCUCCAUAAUUUGUGAAUCUGUGAAUAAAUAAAUAAAACACAUUUGUCGACCCUUUCUAUGCCCUGUAUGCAUAUGGGCUUGAGUGUUUUAUUAUACCUACAAGUUAGAUAUUUGCAUUUGAAUGUGCAGCUUAACCCAAUGGUUACUAAAUGGGAAGCCACAGCUUGAACUAUUGCUGAAGUCUUUAGCUUCAAGGUCAUUCACAGCCUGUUUAAUAGAAGAAAAAGAAAAUCUAAACACAGCCCAGCAAAGUCUGCUGCACUAGAUUUGGACCCUAUCAUAUGUAGAUUGUAUUUGAGUCAGGAGUAUAAUAUAGAGAUAACCUUCUAAGCAAUGAAAACAGUCUUUUUCUAUGUGUAUACACCCACAGGGUGGUGGUAGCAAAGAUAAAAGAAAUCGCGCAAAGCAUUUCUUCCAUAACUAAAAAAAAAAAAAGGUCUAAAAUACUUCUAAGAUCUUUAGCAUGCUUUAAACUGACCUGUGUUACCAAUAUUCAACUAAAGAGCUUCUAUGUCUGAACAUAUUGAAUGUUUUAGCAAUUAUAAGCUCAAAUUCCUAUUAAAUGAAUACUGAUCAUUAUCAGGAUGUGGACUCUGCUUUUCUUCUUAGGCUAUUUUCAUUUGUUUCUUCUGCACCCUUUUAAU
Dermochelys coriacea (leatherback sea turtle) is the source of this 7964-nucleotide RNA transcript. It is a transcript of the gene named neuronal cell adhesion molecule, with no coding region annotated. Lineage: Eukaryota; Metazoa; Chordata; Testudines; Dermochelyidae. The record is from RefSeq and is a predicted model, not a curated record. The transcript has 35 exons.